Molecule: ribosomal RNA, 137 nt
Filed under: uncultured eukaryote
Lineage: Eukaryota
Description: partial 18S ribosomal RNA
Rfam family: Eukaryotic small subunit ribosomal RNA
Source: RNAcentral
UGGUGGAGCGAUUUGUCUGGUUAAUUCCGAUAACGAACGAGACUCUAGCCUAUUAAAUAGUUCGCCAAUCCAUCUUGUCGGCGUCAACUUCUUAGAGGGACAGGUGUCGUAUAGGCACGCGAGAUUGAGCAAUAACA